GCCGUAGCAACGGCGGGCGGGUCCCGCGGGGCGCGCUGAGCUAGGGUGAGCAUCCUGUGGGGCUAGACGAUGGCGGCUGGGAGCGUGCGGCCUGUGCGGGGCCUCCCGGGUUGAGUGGACAUGUGUUCUCGAAAUCAUUACUCUGUGCUUGGGACUGGGGUCCAGGCCUCCUCCCCAUUUUAUGGAUGGAGAAAUUGAGGCUCAGAAGGGAGUCAGGACCAGGACGCAGGACAGAUGAUGCCAGAUGAACAGCCCUUCCCAUUCCUCUGCUGGAAGAACAAGUGUCCACUCCCUAUUUCUUGUUUUUCUCCUGAAAAUCCAAAUGUUUAUAGAAGUCGUAAAGAGAAAUAAACGACCAGGUUUUUGCCCCAGGAAA
Molecule: long non-coding RNA, 376 nt
Organism: Pongo pygmaeus (Bornean orangutan)
Lineage: Eukaryota; Metazoa; Chordata; Mammalia; Primates; Hominidae
Exons: 2
Source: RefSeq, a predicted model, not a curated record